GUAGGUAUAGUUUAAAUAAAACAUUAGAUUGUGAAUCUAACAAUAGAGACCAACCCCUCUUACUUACC
This 68-nucleotide transfer RNA is filed under the name Taphozous melanopogon (black-bearded tomb bat). RNAcentral describes it as "tRNA-His". It matches the Rfam family "tRNA". From Rfam's summary of the family: Transfer RNA (tRNA) molecules are approximately 80 nucleotides in length. Lineage: Eukaryota; Metazoa; Chordata; Mammalia; Chiroptera; Emballonuridae. The record is from RNAcentral.